AAGAAAGAAAAGAAAAAAACAAUUUUGAACAGAAGUAGGUCUUGGCUCUCAGGGUCCCCCCUCUGUGGCCAAGCCUCACCCCAGGGAAGGUUUCAUCCACUUCCGGCCCUGACUAGGAAAACAGGAACCCUGCGAAUAAUUCAGGUGAUCCCAGGCCCCGCGGGGGGCAGGACAGACCGUGGUGUGAGCUGCGGAGAAUGGUUCUCUCGUGCUUCCAGCCAAUGGAGUCCUUGGGAGCUGGAGGGGACCUAGGGCUGGGAGCCAUGGCUCACCUGCCCUGCCCAGCUGUCUGUGUGUGGGGCAGCCGUGCUGGGCAGGGGUCUCACAGGUAAAGGACAGGGGGGCGGAGCUGCGAUGGGUCUACACCAGGAGCCCCUACCUCCAGGCAUCCCCCACCCCAAUCCCCCAGGCUGGCCUGACGUCGUGCGGGGAGGCAGAGCCAGCUUGGCCCGAACGGCUGCGGUGGAGAAUCGAUCGACUGUAAUUGGGACUUGGAAGAGGUUUAAUAUUUAACUGGAUUAAAUAUUUAAACAGAAGGAGCUGAUGGAGCAUGGCAGCCAGGGAGACGACGGGGACGCACCCUGAAAUUGGGAGGAGGGAUGCUAGUGUGGGGCACCCAGGCCCUGCCUACCAGGCAUACGGCAGGUGCCCCCCGGCCUCCCUUCAGAGGGGAGGGCUUGAGGGGAGGACUUCAUUCUCCGUCUCUAUGCUCAGGUGGCAGCGGGGCUGGCUCACCUGAAGUUCUUGGCUCAGAGUCCACGGAUGGACUGGGAGGGUGUGGUCCCUGAAUUUGGAGCUGAGACGGCGGGAGAGGCUGGGGCUUCCUUCUGCGGAGGGUCCAGACCUUAGUCAGCUCAUCAGAGACACCAUCCCUCACCGUGCUCUCCCAAGGAGAAGAUGAGCCACCAGCCCCUUCUCAUCCUCCCUCCCACACCUGGGAACGGUGCAUCUCUGGACCCUGGCAGGAGCCGGAGGGGGCGCUCCUAGAAUUUCUAGAUGGCAGCCACCGCCCCACCCACCUUCCCCAAAGGUGUUCCUGAGUAGACUCCUAGAGAGACGCAGAGUGGGGUGGGGUGGGGUGGGGCAGGUGCCUGGUCUCCCUGCCCUCCGUGAUCUGUGAAGACCCCGCCCAGCCGGGCUUCCACAAAUACACCGAGGGGAGGCAGCUCCCGUCCUGGGCCCAGGAUGCCGCAUGCUCUCAACCAAGCCCUCCCAGCGUGGCCUGGCUGGCUCUGUCGUGGCGGGUUCCGUGGGUGUCAGGAAGCCCUCAGGGGCCCUGCAGUCCUGGUGUCCCGCGUCCCUACCCCAGCUGCCUGGCAGGAGGCCCUCGUGACCAUGGGGCCCCUGUGGUGUUUGCUCUGGGUCUCCCUGGGGAGUGGUUUCCGGCACAGAGCCCCCAGGGCUGGGGUGAGCCGGCUCUGCAGAGUGUCAGCCUGGAGGAAGUAAGAGGUGAGCAGGCCUCGAAAUGUCUUGCAGGCCUCAGGAACUGCAGAAACAGAACCCACACGCAGGCCAGGCCCGUGGCUGCCUUCCAGGUGGACCCAACGCUUCCUGAGGCCUCCUGUGUCUGGGGACCCUGGGCUGGCCCUCAGGGCGUGACCAGGGCUGGAGGAGAAACAGGGCAGGGAAGACGAAACCUCGAGACAGAGGGAGCCUGAGCCUCGUGGACGCUCCGGCAAGCCCACCGCCACGUAGACCAAGCACACCUGGCCGUGGCCUCUCUGGGGCUCAGAGCAGAUCUGGGUCUGAAGCGUGAUGGCCUGCCUGGCUGCAUGACCUGGGCAGGUGUCCUUAGCACCUGAGCCUUGGUCUGCUCACCUGUGACAUUGGUAAUUGUUCCUGUGCAGAGGGUGGCCAUGGCUGUGAAACAGAGGAGCUGUGUGCCUGGCUGGGACCUGGGUACCUGGCGUGUCCACGGCUGCCUCGGUUACCUCCUGCCGGAGGACAGACAGGGAAGCUGGGCAAAGCCCAGGGAGCAGCGAGGCCCAGCGGUUGGGGGUCUUCCUGUUUCCACUCCCAGGGAACACCCAGCAGGUAAGGUGCAUUUGGACAUCCCGGUUUUGUUUCAGCAGGCCUGCAGGGCUAGGGGAAGCCACAAGCCUCCCAGGGGACCACGCCUCUGAUUUGGUGUCCGGGCAGCAUAGCGGCCAUCCAGGGCUGCAGGGACAGCAGAGGUGGGGGCUUGUGGCCUGGGAGACGCAGGAUGGGGUCUCCUCUCUGCUGGACUGGACUGGCCCUCCCUCCCUUCACCUGGGGGUGGACGCAGGUCUGGGGAGGUGGACGCAGAGGGGACCCGGCAGUGCGAAGCCUCGGACUUUCUUGUGUUUUGUAAGCAAGAGUAGAACGGCCAGCUCCCCCAGCGCCCAGAGGCCAGCCCGAGUCCCUGUCCAGGCCUCCGAGGCCUCCACCCUGGUCCGUCUCCUGGCAGCACCGCUGGCCCAGCCUGUCUGGGCCUGCUCUGAGCCAAGCCUGAGGGGUGGCUGUUGCCCUUGGGUUCAGGAGCUUACCUGGACCCACCAGGCGGGGUUCCCUGGGGGCCUUCCUGGGCAGAUGUUGGUCCCACUGGGAGGGCAGAGCCAGUCAGUGGUGGACACAGCAUCCGUCCCAGCCUUGGGCCAGCAGGAGGGGUCCCAGAAUGUCCUAAAAGGCGUUAACCUUGUCUGGCCUGUGCACACAGGGCAGCGGGUGCUGUGGUCCUGCAGGCAUGGCUGAGCACAUGGGCCCUCAGACCCUAUGGGGACCCCACGCAGAUCCCAGGCAGACCACAGGCAGCCCCGACAUGGCAUCCCACGUGCCCCCAAGUGCCCCAUCCUAGCCCCCAUGCAAACCAAGUGGCCCCCACACGGCCCAAUUGUGUGGGAGCCCCAACGCACCCCACCAAAUCCCCACCGAGUCCCCUCAGCGACUCCCGGCCCCAGCCUGGCCUCCGCUCCUCGCUGGCUGAGUCAACGCCAGUUCCUGGCAGCAGACGCUCCCCCAGGACGGGUUCCUAAUGAAUUGUUUGAUCUCGCACCCCUGUUUGAUCAGAGGAGGGAGCUGCUCUGGAAUUAAGCAGGUGGCCCCAGACCCAGCGGUUCUGCCCCAAGAGGGGCAGGAGGGGACACGAGGUGGUCCCAGUGCUGGGGGUUUGUCCCAGUGGGGAGGGAAGCCUGGCGGUGGCAUAGCAGAAGCAGGCAGGCCGUGGGCUGUGCUCACUGUGGGCUGUGCCUUCUCUUGCAAAGCAGUUCUGAGCUGCCACCUGCGCAGGGUUGGGCGGUGGACCCCCCAGAGCGUGAGCACAUCCUGCGGCCGGAGCCUGUGGAGGAGACAUUCCUGGGAAAAGGAUCUUCGCAGACGCGGCCCUAGUCAAGGACCUCCAAGUGGGAUCGUCCGCGUGGGCCUUCGCUCCAACACUGGCAUCCUCAGAAGUCAGAGCAGAGGUCAGAGCCCAGGACGCCGGGAGCCCUCGGGAGCUGGAAGAGGCAGGAAGGGACCUUCCCUGCGGCCGCCGGAGGGCAUGCGGCCCUGCCCACACCCGACGCUGGACUUCUGGCCUCCAGCACUGGGAGAGAGGACGCUUCUGUGGUUCGACACCCCCCGGGGGCGGCACAGGAGCCACAGGAACCCGACACGUUGCCCGAGCUUCCAGUCCAUAGGCUGAGCACGGAGCUGCCCUGACCAGCAUCCACAGCCCUGCUCCUGGGCCCCAGCAAGGGCCAAGGGAGGCCCUGACACCUGUCCAGGUGCACACAGGGGGGUCCGAGCACUCGGACCCUCACCUGGGACGUGUGCUGGCUCUUGUGCAGGACGCCCUCCCUAGGCCUGGAAGGAGGGUGAGGACCCAGCACGCGGAGACGCCCGGAUUUCUGCACUGGAAGCGACUGCAGAGGCCCCGGGGCACGGUGGGAGAGGCAGAAUCGAGCAAGGAGACACACGCCAGCUGGGAGCCCUGCACGCCGUCUCCAGUCUUCAGGUGACCGUGGAGUCAGUUCCAGCCCCGGGGAGCCAGAGCCUGAGGGCUCCUCACCCUCUGCUGCUUCAUCACGGAUCUCUCACUGGGAGCCUCCCACCGCCCAGCAGGUCUUGCCCCUGAUGAGGCCAACCUGCCACCUGGCCACGGGCCGGCCCAGUCUGCAUCUCAGCCCUUCAUCUGAGGAUGGCAAGGAGGCCGGAACUCCAGAGGUCACUCAGAGGCUGGAGUGGGGCCAGGGUGCUCUUGGUGGGGACUCCCUGGCUCUCUCUUUGUCUUUUGGGGGCAGGCGCCCUGGGGCAACAGGACGCUGUGGAUAGGAGAGUCGGCAGACGCCCCACCUGCCCAGGGGGAUUCGACCAGGGCUCCCUUCCACUCUACCAUCUGGGCCUGCAGGCCAAAGCACACCCCAGGGGACAGGGAGUCGGCCUGGCCCGUCUCGAGAGGGGGUCUGCACCCAGUCCCCUCACAGCCUGGCCAGAUGGAGCCCCAAGCAGGAGGUGCUGAGUGGAGGCAGGGCUGGGCCUGCGUGGGCGCCGGCAGCAGGGUUGCCAGGCAACCACCUUGUGCAUUCGGCGUCUCCAUCUCCAUAGGGCGGAGGAACCCGGGUUCCAAUAUUUAUGUCUUGCCGCUUGCUAAGUCCCGGCGGGUGUUCACGCUGGACAGGGGGGAGAGGGAGGCGCGGUCUGCCGGCCCUGGAGGGUGGGGUGGCCCUGGAGCUCCAGGCUCCCACCCCCAGCCCUGCUCCCAGGAGGGGCUGACAGUUCUCUCGGCGGCUGCUGUGGCUUAGAGCUGAGAGGCCAAGCAGCUUCGAUGGUGGAACUCCAGGCUCAGGGGACGGAGGGGGACCUUCCUGCUAGACCCAAAAUGACAGCAGGAGCUGCCUGUCCCCUCUGCCUGGGCCACAGUGAGGAGAGGCCGUGCCGGGUGCAGCCCCUCCUGGGUCUCUUCAGGCAAGGCCAGGUCUCCAUGGGCCUCUACAGAGCAGGGUUGCAGGGGCACCAGGGUCUAGCCUCGUCUCCAUAGGCCUCAGCUUCCCCUUCCCCAAAAGUGCCGUGGUGAUCCUGGGUGGCCUGGCGGUGCUCUGACAGUUCGGGGGGACCACAGCCCAGAGGCCCUGCAGGCCAGAGGAUGGGGGCCCCAUGGGUUCCCAGAGAGGAAUAUCAGGUGUCAGAGACGGCCCCACCGGGAAGGUCCCCACUGUCCUGCGACGCUGUCCCAGGGCUUCCUGCGGUGAGGACAGUGGGGGAUCCAGCCAGGCAUGGGAGCCUCAGGAUGUCCAUCCUGUGGCCAGGGGUCCAGGGUGGUCCACUCCCCAAGGGCUGAGCCCCGCACCUGGCUGGGGAGCUGGAGCGCCCAGCUGGGCCCACUCAGGACCCUGCUGGGUGGAGGGCAGGGUCUUCCAGCACCUUCCGUGGUCCAUCUUCUCCGGAACCCAGAGCUCCUGCCAGUUCAGGCUGGGAGUGGGGUGCUCCCUGCACGUCAGCCCUGCAGACCCCCCGGAAGGGUCAGGGCCUGGGUGGAGAGGAGGCCUCUAUGUGGGUGAGGGCUUCAGGCUGUGGCCCCAUCCUUCCAUGGGACCACCUCGAGGGACCCCAGCCCCCCCACCCUGCAGGCAACGCUGAGCCUCAGUCUUCCCAGGCAACGGGGUGGGGUGGGGGGCCCAACCUGCACUAAACAGCUGUGGCCCGGUGGCCCACGCCCUGACCUGCCUGCCCUGAGGGGAAGCCCCCGGGUCCCCAGGUGGCCUGGGCUCUGGUUGCCCACCUGGGCCAUUACCUGUGCUUUCGAAUCCUUGUGCAAACCAGGGCAUCCUGGACCUGGGGGGUCCCCUGCUCAGGUACCAGCUGGGGCUGCCCACGCCCCCGAGUGCAGCUAGCAGGGCGGAGGGGCGCUGGCACCAAGACCCCUCUGCCGUGUGCUCCCGUCCAGCCCAACGGGGGCCCAGCCCAGGCCACACCGGCCCCGGCCUCCCGCUUCUCUCCCCUUGGCCUGGGAGCUUCAGGGAGAGGCUGGAAGUGCUGCGGGGCAGCGGGGAUUACAGGGUGGGGUGGGCUUGAAGGGGGUCGGUGCACGGUAACCCCUUGGCCCUGGUUUCUAGGUCCAGGGAUGGGGACCUCUGCACCCUGCCCCUCCACCUGCCGACGCGGGGACAGCUGUGCCCGGAGACCCCGUGGCUCCUGUCGUCCAGUCCACCAGGCACCCAGGGCUCCUCCUGCCACUGCCCUCACCUCCCGCUGCUAAACCUGAACGUCACAGCUCUGGGCCCUGGGUUCACCCACAGUGCGGAGCCGAGCCCUCCCCCAGGCCUACAGUGCCUGCUCCGGCAACUUAAACUUGAACUCAGUGCUGGCCCAGGAGCUGAUGGGAAGGACUGCCCAGCCUCCCCCAGCCCCACGGUCCAGCCUGACCCACCUUGGACGAUGGGGUCCUGGGGGCAGCACAGGCAGUCGGGGGAGACUCCCCUGGCCGGGCCGGGCAGGGAGGGGUCCCUGGAGGGAAGUGCCCCCAGCUUUGUACAAGGGUCUGUCCUGGGGCAGGGGAGGGGCUUUCCCAGGUGUGCAGUACCCAGGGCCCCGGCACAGCUCACAGGGCACCUCCUGCCCCCGCCCUCCAGCACCGCUGGGUUUCCCACUGGGCCAGGCCUGGGUCAGCCCGUCUCUCCCUCCUGGGGUCCCGGAGGCACAGGGCAGCCAGGAAUCCGGGUACCUGGGAACUCCAGAAGCCCAAAGCCGAGGUCCUGCAGAGGGUCCAGGGGUCUCCGAAGACCACAAAUGCCAGUCCCUGCCACUCCCAGGAGGAGGUGCCACCCAGUUGCAGCCGCUGGACCUGCAGGCAGACGAGACCCUCAGCCACACACGGGAGACCAGAGUUGGAGGCGCUCGGGAGGCUAGAGGCGAAGGCCCACGGGCCUCCUGGAUUCCGAGAUUUUCCCCUCAUCAAACAAACAACGUGUGGGUCAGAUUCUACGUGUAAAAUGCACCCGGAGGCCGGCCCCAGGUGCCGGGGGCUGCUGAGAACUGGUGGGCGGGGUGACUGCAGAGGGAGGGCCCUGAGCCAGCCCCACAGCCCGGAACCUGGGGCCCCCAUCCCAUCUGGUUAUCCUGCAACCAGGGAUGGGGCUCCCACAGGAUCAGCCCCCCAGCCCUGUGGCAGCGGGAGCUGAGCCCCCUAUCCCCAGGCCCCUCCCAGCCUGCUUGGCCUGGCCCCCUCCACUGAUGGGGGAGACCCCAGGACCUCAGCCUCUCCAGGGGCCUUCGGGGGAGGACAGGGCCAUGCUGCUGAGGAGCGUGGAGGGUGCCAGGGAGGCUGGGUAGGGGCUCUGGGUGGGUAUGGAGGUAGGACCAGGGCUGAUGUGCUUCAGGCCUAGGGGGGAGGGAGACUAAUCUGGCGGGACAGAGUGACAGCAGCACUGAGGCCUCAGCAGGGACAGAGCUGGUGCAGGUCAUUGAAGGGCUUGGGUGCUGGCUAAGGGGACAGCAUAUUUUUCUUAUGGGCAGUGGGGAGCCAUAGAUGGUCCUUGAGAGAGGGGAUCACGAGUUGAUUCCUGAAGGAGGCUGAGAGCUCCCAGAGACUGCGCCUAUCUAGGUAUGGAGAGGGCAAGCAGAAGGGUCCAGUCAAGUGUGGGGACAAGUCCUCCCCAAUCUCAGACCCCGAACAAGAGAGCUGGGACGUCCCCCUACACACUCUCCCUCCAUUCCCCGAUGUCCACAUCAGGGAGGCGAUCUUCCCCUAGCCGCCCAGCACCCACCCUGGUGCCUCUCUGGGGGUCCUCCCAGGGAACCCCUUGCAGAAACUCCCCCAGCCUCUGGGGUCCCUGCCCCCUGCCCUCCCUCACACUGUACCCCAGAGCCGGACCCAGGACUUUUGCCACUUGGGGCAGAGAAUUUAGGACUUUUCCUUUUGAGCUGAGACACUGGGCCCUGCCCACCCUGGAACUGUGGGGAACGGCUGGCCGGUGGGCAGGUCACAAGACACCCUGUGUCUCUAGACGGGCAGGGAGGAGCACACGGAGGCCCCGGGCUUUGGGACAUGUUCGCCUCAAUCCUGCGCAUGGGGUAAAUCGGCAUCAGGACUUCCUUCCGUGUCCGUCCAGCCAGAGCAGCCCCACAGACUCUCUCUCCGGAAGAUAAUCAGGGCCCCAACAACGUCUUGUCUGCCUGAGCGUGUUCACGUGUCACCCUCAGGAGCGACUGUCUCAAUAUUGUGCUGAAGCAGAGGCCGCAGAGUCCCCUCUCACUCCAGGCUGCCUCUCGUGCGUGACUCAGGCCUUUGACAUCACCAGGAGAGCUGGAGACAGGCCUGGGGACCCGAGAGGGCUCAGCGAGGGGCUGGCUGGUCACCCGGGCCCCGGCGUCCCUGUGCCCCUCACACACAGGGUGCUUUCUCGCCAGGGCCUCUGGGCGGGACCCCCGGGGCUGCACGGGAACUUGCCUCAGCCUGAACCUGGGGGUGGCCCUGGAUGCUAGACCAGGACAUGCAUCCUGCCCAGGGCUGUGGCCAUGGCCCCUUGGGGACCCAGGCCCAGCCAACCCCUCCCUGGGUCUCUCUUGACUCCAGUAACUGCAUCCUCCCAGAAACGAUUUCCCUGGCCUCUGAGUCUCCGGUGCCGUCCAGGGUAUCCAGACGGAGCUGGGGAUAGGCGGGGGGCCCCAAGGGGUGGCCUGGCAGCAGCCUGGCUGAAGCUGAAUGCUUCCUAUUGAUCCGGGACAAUUAUGGGAUGGUGAGCCCCAUUAUGUCACUCGCACACCAUUAAAGAGUUUAAAAAUAUCAACCGAUCACCAACGCAGCAGGCCAGAGUUCAGGCAGGACACCGGGCGCUUUGUUAAGAACCCGAGGGCACGGAGAAGUCACCGCCCGGGCCGGGGGAUGUGUGAAUCUGGCCCUCCGAGGGGCACGUUUGGUCCCCGGGGUGGGGAGGGGCAGACAGACCCUCCCCGGCUUGGGCCUGGCCCCCUGGGCACUCGGGUCCACUCUGGGGCCCGAGAGCCCUUGGAGGUGGACUUGGGCACUGCGGGUGCGUGGAGGGGUGCCACCCCUCAAACGCACCCUCACCUCCACUCUGCCACUGACUCGACACCCUCCCUGGCCAGGCUCGGGGCUCCGGGGAAAGGGGUGCAGCUUCCCAGGCCUCCCCGUUGUGUGUGGGAGGGGGUUUCGGGGGAAGCAUUUAGAACAAGAUGGAGAAUUCCAGCCCACAAGCCGGGAGGCUGAGGUGCAAGUGACGUCAGAACUGAGACUGGGAGCCGGGGAAGCCGGUUUCCCCUGAGAGGACCCCUGGCCUGCAGGACACAUUGAGGGGAUGUCGGGCCGAGGGCACCCAUGGGAGACGGGACUGCACGGCAGGCCCCCAGCUCGAGAACCCCAGGCAGCCCCGGACACCAGCGGGAGGGGUGCGGCCCCGUGGGAAGCCCCGACCCUUGCUUGGCAGUGGGGGUCCUGGUCGGGGCCCACCUGCAGCUGCACUCCCAAGGCCUGGCAAGCGUUUCUCCACCAAGAUCAGGAGGGCCUCAUCGUCAUAGAAACAGGCCACAUUCCCAGAGUGCACCGUGGCCAUUUGUGUCCCUCUCUGGCCAGGGCCUGUGGUGGGUGGGGGACCCCUGCGUCCUCAGGUCUGUUAACUGGGCAAACAGGGUCAGGCCCCUGAGGGCCCCCAGCCCCACCUGUGCGGCUCCCACAGCAUGAAAAUCGUAUCUUGUGGCCCCUGCUCCUCCCAACCUGGUCUCCCAUGACCGCUUUGCCCCGCACCGGCCACAACCCCGGCGGACACGCCACACACGAGCUGUUCCGGGCGCAGCACAGGAAACAGCCACAAGCCUGGGAACUGGGGGCCCCCGGACUGGCGGAGGCCGGAAGGAUCCUCCCUGGAGCCUCUGGAGGAAGCCAGACCCUGCCAAUGCCCAGGUCAGACUCCACUGCCAGUGCCUGGGAGGACUGUUUGUUGUUUUAGCCACCAGGUUUGCAGCACGCGGUCAGAACAGCCCCAGGAAGCUAAGCUGUUGCCCUGAGCGAUGAUUAUCAGGGAAAUCCUUAGAGCAGACGGCUGGUAGCUUAUGGCAAAUGUGAAAUAAAUGCAAAUGCUGUUAUCUCAAGGCAGCCCACCCCGCUUCUGACAAGAUGGGCCACGGGCCCACAGCCGCCACUGCCAUCCUACGACUCCCGUCAACCCUCCGGGCUGAGCGGUGGCACUUCUGGGACUCUGGCCGUGAUCAAGACGUGCCCUGGAGGAGGACCCCAGGCCUGCCGCAGCGGGGCAGGGGGAACCGCAGCCGCUCGCCUCGAGCCUUGGAGGACCCUCUGCUUGGUCAGGAGCGAGCUCAGCUGUGCCUCGGAGGGCUGCUUGGUGCUCAAGGUGGAGCUGGGGGCAGCAGGAGGGCGUCGGGGAGCUGGGGCAGCCGUGGAAUACAUCAGGAGGGGGUGCUGGGUGGGCCUGAGGAUGAGGGAGAGAUGGGUCCUGGGUGGGCCUGAAGAUGCCAGAGAGAUGGGAGGAGGGAGACGGGAUUCUGAGUGGGGGUUGGGAGGGCGUGGCUGGCCCUUGCGGGUGGACUCAGAGCCCAGCCAUGGCCCUGCUGGGAGAGAAUUUCCUGUCCACCCGGAGUAAGUGCUGUCUGUUAGACCGAGACGCCUGUCCCUUGCCAAGCUGGGGCCCCAGAGUGCCCUUUCGUCUCUUGUGAAGGAAACCAAGAUUUAUAAUAACACAAAGUGCGUCCGCGCCGUGGGAGGGGCCUGCUCCUGCUGGCCGUAUCGGCCGCGUCAUCUUGGGCUCAUCGUGUGGGCUGUGGACAUGGGGCUGUCCCUCACUAACAUCCACACGAGCCGAGCCGGGGCCUCGAGGGAGGGGCCUGACUGUGGCCUUGCUGGGCCCGGGGGCCAUGGGGAGACCUCACCUUCCCCCAGUGGCUACUGGGGAGGCCACGCCUGCAUCUCUCUCGCCCAGGAAAGGGGGCCCCAAUUCCCAGAACCUUCGCUGUACCUCUCGAGGGCCCGAGAGGGGCCAGUGUCAGCACCCGGUCAGCAGCACCCAAAGACCCCCUCGAGGGCCUGAGACGGCCGACGUCAGCCAGGCACCUGGUCAGGGGCAGAGACCCCCUCGAGGGGCCAGCAGUCUCAGAGAAUCAGCUGGAAUCACUGUUGCUGGUGUUUGUGGCGGGUGGGGGUCCCUACCUCAACUCUGUCUUCACACCUGCUCAGGGCCCACAGGCCAAGAGGCUGGGCAGCUGCUCACAGGGCUGGUGCUGUAGCCCGUCCACAGGCCCUGGCCCUGCCCACCGUCUGCCAGCGCCCACUCGCUCUUCUUCCCGGCCUCCUGGGCCCCAGGCCACGAUGGAGCAGAGGUCGCACCUCCAGGACCCGGGCACAGCUCGCCUUCUGCGGAGGCUGCUCCAUGCUCAGCAGGCAGGGCUGGCGGAGGUGCCAGGCUGGGCAGAGGGGCCUGGGGACUGUGGGACCAGGGCUGAGAGCGCCCCUCUUGCUUGCCUCCUCACUGCCCUUUUGGCCUGGCUGGACCUCCCGUGCCUCCCUGGAGGUUCUGCUCCCGGCCCGUGUCUGGAAGCUUUCUCGGUCCUUUUCCCCAUCCAGCCUGGGGGAGGCGGAGGCCCACCAGGACUCGUGCCGGGAGGGGCACCCACGCACGGGAGCUGCGUUCACACCUGAGCCCACUUGAGAGGCUCUGGCCCAGCAGCCGGGACGGCUGACCCUUACGGAUGGGAGCAAGGCCAGGCGGGGUUGGGAGUGGAGCCUUCAUCUUUCCUCCUCCUCUGCUUAGACUCCAGGCCCCUCAGUCAGCCACGCCUUCCCAGCCCUCCCCUGGGACCCCAGGAGGUGGGGGCACCCCCAUAGGUGGACAGGAGCCCAUCUGACCCCUCCUGGUCCCUUCCCGAUGGACCCACGUGGGCCUGUGGAGCCGGGCACAUGGCCUGGCCAGCUCUGGGGAUCUGGGCGCAGGUGGAGGAGGCUGUGGGGGGGGCGCAGGCGGUGGGGUGCCUGGAGGGUGGUGCAGCCGGGCCUACAGCCCUGGCCCGACGCCCUCCUGACCCUAUAGCCCCAGCCCCCGGGGUGUCGGGGACACCCUUCCAUGCCUUUGCGCCCGGCCCCUCUCCCAGCCUGAAGACCUCAGCCAGCCCCUGCUUCCCUGUGCGGCCGCCAUGUCCGGCCGUGUCUGGGGCUGCUCCUCCCGGGUCAUCUGAGCCGCCCCAGGCUCCCUUCCUCCCUUCCUCUUGGCCUUGGGAACAAUCUGACCUGAUUCUCAAAAGGAGUCAUCAGACUGUGUUCCGCUUGUGUUUUUAUUACCAAGGAAUGUACGAACGAGGGAAAUAUUGUCGCUGACACCCCCGGCUCUGUCCUGAGCCUCGUGCAGCUGGGACCCCAGGACGCGUUGUCCUCAGGAUGUCUGCGGCUGCCGGGCGGAUCUGCAGGGACUGGAGGCUGAGCUUCCUGCGAGACCUCGGCCUCGGUGGUCCAUCUGGGACCGGGUGGCACCACCUCCCUGUCCUGCGGUAGGGAGUGGGGGUCCGCCCAGGCACCCAGAAGCCACACUCGGAGGCACGGGGGCUCCCUCCCUGGUGUCCCUCCCUGCUUCCCUCUCUGUCCCUCUCCCGUCCAACCGUCUCCCUGGCUCAGGCUCGUGAGGACAAGGCCUCAGGAAGUCCGCAGCCUCCAGCCGACGCUGUGACAGAGACGUCCCCAGCACUCGGGGAGGGGGCUCC
Non-coding RNA from Chlorocebus sabaeus (green monkey), 12654 nucleotides. The record is from RefSeq and is a predicted model, not a curated record. Lineage: Eukaryota; Metazoa; Chordata; Mammalia; Primates; Cercopithecidae.